This 1143-nucleotide long non-coding RNA is filed under the name Cricetulus griseus (Chinese hamster). RNAcentral describes it as "lncRNA (ENSCGRG00015029536.1)". Lineage: Eukaryota; Metazoa; Chordata; Mammalia; Rodentia; Cricetidae. The record is from RNAcentral.
GUAAACUCCAUCUCGGCAAAUCCCUCAUCACCUUUGGCAAAUGCGACUGACCCUCUAUAAAGUUCUGUCAGAUUGCACUUCAGGCCAUCUUGUUUGCUUCUGCCUGCAGAUUCAGACAGCAGCGUUUAAGGAGCCAGCCAGGCUGAUGACUCAGCUCAUAAAACAAUGUGUGGCCACAAAGAUGAUGUUUAUCCAGGAGCAUUCUGGAGGCUCUUGCUACCGAAGCCGGCAAGCUGUGGGUAUGUGGUACACGAUGCUCAUUCUCCCAGGAGUUUCUGCAGCCGUGACAAAGCAGCACUCCCCAGCUGCAACUCUCCCAGCAGUGGAUCUCACACGAUGCUCUCCCUAAACAGAAAGGAAGACACUGGGUCUGAUAAGAGCCUCUUCCAAGACUGCUGCAGCUACGGUCUUACCUGUGGAGAAGACCGUAUGGAGACCAUUAUUCAAUAACACACACUUGUGUAGUAUGUAAGGUGAGUGCCUGGUACACAGUGGAUGGCCAGUUGCCUAUUAGUUACCCGGUAUCCUUUCUCUGCCUCACCCCACCAAUGUAAAUUCCUUGUAGUGAGAACCCUACCUGAAGUUUUUACUGCUCCCUGCCCUGUACCUACAAGUCUCAGGCAUAGUGUGGAGUGGGCAGCCAAGUGAAAGAAUCCAUCUAUCCUCAUGUGCUAUAUGUACCUUCCUACGUGGCUAGCAUUUCACCAAUCUUAGCACACUGGGAGAAUGUGGACCUGAACCACAGGCUCUAUGAGGACCCCCACAGUCAUCUAAUCCCCCUCCUUUGAAGUCCAGGGCUGCAAUAAAGGCCCCCAAAGCCCACGUGUUGCUGUCCUGAAGAGCAAGUCCUUGGAAGUGAAACCCCAUGAGUAUGGAAGAUCUGAUUUUCUGGAUGCAGAGUCCCAAAGGUAGAAAUGGGCUUGGUCUGAGCUCCCUCCUCCUUAGACCACUCUAAGUUCUCUCCUUCUAAAUGGAUUUGGAUACCAAGGCAACUAAUGGGGGCUAGGCUUGCACCAUGGACCAGGCACCUUCUUAACAGUAUUUCACAAAUGGCAUCUACCCAACCCCCUAGCUGACUCGAUGAGAAGGGCACCCUCAUCUGCACUCCUCAAUUGAGGAACUAGAAGUCAGGGAAGCUAAGGG